Molecule: non-coding RNA, 297 nt
Organism: Microcebus murinus (gray mouse lemur)
Lineage: Eukaryota; Metazoa; Chordata; Mammalia; Primates; Cheirogaleidae
Source: the annotation of a RefSeq genome assembly
AUGGACUGGACCUGGAGGAUCCUCUUCCUGGUGGCAGCAGCUACAGGUGCACACUCUGAGGUCCAGCUGGUGCCAUCUGGAUCUGAUGUGAGGCCGCCUGAGGCCUCCGUGAAGGUGUCCUGCAAGGCUUCUGGAUACACCUUCACUAGCUAUGCUAUGAAUUGGGUGAGACAAGCCUCUGGGCAAGGAAUGCCGUAUAUGGGAUGGCUGAACACAAACACAGGAGGAACAAGCUAUGUGCAGAAGUUCCAGUUCCGAGUCGCCAUGACCAGGAACACAUCCAUGAGCACAGCCUAG